Molecule: ribosomal RNA, 1446 nt
Filed under: uncultured organism
Description: 16S ribosomal RNA
Rfam family: Bacterial small subunit ribosomal RNA
Source: RNAcentral
CAGGCUUAACACAUGCAAGUCGAGGGGCAUCAGGAAGAAAGCUUGCUUUCUUUGCUGGCGACCGGCGCACGGGUGAGUAACACGUAUCCAACCUGCCCUUUACUCGGGGAUAGCCUUUCGAAAGAAAGAUUAAUACCCGAUAGCAUAAUGAUUCCGCAUGGUUUCAUUAUUAAAGGAUUCCGGUAAAGGAUGGGGAUGCGUUCCAUUAGGUUGUUGGUGAGGUAACGGCCCACCAAGCCUUCGAUGGAUAGGGGUUCUGAGAGGAAGGUCCCCCACAUUGGAACUGAGACACGGUCCAAACUCCUACGGGAGGCAGCAGUGAGGAAUAUUGGUCAAUGGGCGCUAGCCUGAACCAGCCAAGUAGCGUGAAGGAUGAAGGCUCUAUGGGUCGUAAACUUCUUUUAUAUAAGAAUAAAGUGCAGUAUGUAUACUGUUUUGUAUGUAUUAUAUGAAUAAGGAUCGGCUAACUCCGUGCCAGCAGCCGCGGUAAUACGGAGGAUCCGAGCGUUAUCCGGAUUUAUUGGGUUUAAAGGGAGCGUAGGUGGACUGGUAAGUCAGUUGUGAAAGUUUGCGGCUCAACCGUAAAAUUGCAGUUGAUACUGUCAGUCUUGAGUACAGUAGAGGUGGGCGGAAUUCGUGGUGUAGCGGUGAAAUGCUUAGAUAUCACGAAGAACUCCGAUUGCGAAGGCAGCUCACUGGACUGCAACUGACACUGAUGCUCGAAAGUGUGGGUAUCAAACAGGAUUAGAUACCCUGGUAGUCCACACAGUAAACGAUGAAUACUCGCUGUUUGCGAUAUACAGUAAGCGGCCAAGCGAAAGCAUUAAGUAUUCCACCUGGGGAGUACGCCGGCAACGGUGAAACUCAAAGGAAUUGACGGGGGCCCGCACAAGCGGAGGAACAUGUGGUUUAAUUCGAUGAUACGCGAGGAACCUUACCCGGGCUUAAAUUGCAGUGGAAUGAUGUGGAAACAUGUCAGUGAGCAAUCACCGCUGUGAAGGUGCUGCAUGGUUGUCGUCAGCUCGUGCCGUGAGGUGUCGGCUUAAGUGCCAUAACGAGCGCAACCCUUAUCUUUAGUUACUAACAGGUUAUGCUGAGGACUCUAGAGAGACUGCCGUCGUAAGAUGUGAGGAAGGUGGGGAUGACGUCAAAUCAGCACGGCCCUUACGUCCGGGGCUACACACGUGUUACAAUGGGGGGUACAGAAGGCAGCUAGCGGGUGACCGUAUGCUAAUCCCAAAAUCCUCUCUCAGUUCGGAUCGAAGUCUGCAACCCGACUUCGUGAAGCUGGAUUCGCUAGUAAUCGCGCAUCAGCCACGGCGCGGUGAAUACGUUCCCGGGCCUUGUACACACCGCCCGUCAAGCCAUGGGAGCCGGGGGUACCUGAAGUACGUAACCGCAAGGAUCGUCCUAGGGUAAAACUGGUGACUGGGGCUAAGUCAUAAC